ACGCUCAACCGCUGGGCCCCCAGGUAACCCUAACCCUGAAUUUUUUAAAAGAAAAAAAUCAUUUUCCUUCUUUUCACAUUUUUAAUGACCUCUAUCCUUUAGUGAGUGAGAAAUGAACCAGAGUCAGCCGGGUCUUCAGAGCUUAGGGGGCUCAGGAAGGCCCCCCUUUCUCCUGCUCGCGCAUACCGGGUCGGGGCUGACUCCUAGGCGGGACUGAUAACAGGCCGGGGGGGGGGGGGGGGGGGGCGAGGGGCCUAACCUGGAGCCCCGCCCACCCGCAGUGGCUGCCUCCCGCGCCCAGCCGCCCAGGGAUCCCCCCUACUUCGCCUACUGGGCACAAGGCAAAAAACCUACCUACCGACAUGUACAGGAUUUUUAUUGGCCUACAGCUCCAACCCCUGGUGAGGAAAUUUUCCAGUUUCCAAGGGUUGAGGCUGGCCUCCUUUCUGACAGGUGUCCACAGCAGAAUCAACCUGUUGGGGGUCAUUUAGGUAAACUUCAGGGGUAAGAAGAGGAAGAAUGAGUUCCCAGAAUCAGAGAAAUGUAGGCGAUCAGAUUUCACUGUACUGAUCUUGGUGGUCUCUUCCAUCAGAUUGAAUAAGAUUGUUUCUGUUUGAAAUUCUUGCAGUUCCCGGAACACCUGGGUGGCUCAGCGGUUGAGUGUCUGCCUUCAGCCCAGGUCGUGGUCCCAGGGUCCUGGGAUCAAGUCCCACGUCGGGCUCCCUGCAUGGAGCCUGCUUCUCCCUCUGCCUGUGUCUCUGCCUCUCUCUGUCUCUGUGUCUCUCAUGAAUAAAUAAAUAAAAUCUUAAAAAAAAAUUCUUGCAGUUCAC
This 830-nucleotide long non-coding RNA is filed under the name Canis lupus familiaris (dog). RNAcentral describes it as "lncRNA (ENSCAFG00040005811.1)". The record is from RNAcentral. Lineage: Eukaryota; Metazoa; Chordata; Mammalia; Carnivora; Canidae.